RNAcentral lists this ribosomal RNA (548 nucleotides) under uncultured eukaryote. RNAcentral describes it as "bacterial SSU rRNA". It matches the Rfam family "Eukaryotic small subunit ribosomal RNA", at positions 1209 to 1761 of the family's 1831-position model. The record is from RNAcentral.
GGAAACUCACCAGGUCCGGACAUGAGGAGGAUUGACAGCUUGAAAGAGCUUUCUUGAUUUUAUGGGUGGUGGUGCAUGGCCGGUUUUUGUGCUUGGAGUGAUCUGUCUGGUCGAUUCCGAUAACGUGCGAGACUGGUGUUGGUUGUUGCCUCUGGUUAACCUUUGCGUUAGCUUGUUCAGAGGGAUCAACCGAGACAACCUGCGUCGAGCAGGGGGAAGCAACCAGCGAAACCAGGUCUGUGAUGCCCUUAGAAGUUCUGGGCUACACGCGCGCUACAAUGGUGGGUUUAGCGGGUCACGAGCUCCGUUUGGAGCGAAUCCUGGUCUGGAAGGACUGGGGAACCCUUUAAGUGCCCACCGUGAUGGGGCUAGAUUCUUGCAAUUAUUAAUCUUCAACGAGGAAUUUCUAGUAUGUGCGAGUCAUCAGCUCGCGCAGAUUGCGUCCCUGCCCUUUGUACACACCGCCCGUCGCAGCUACCGAUUGGGAGAUGAGGUGAGGUGUUUGGACUCGUUCCUUUCCUUUGGGGGAGGAAUGGGGAAGCUCCCCG